GCUGCCGUACAUUUAUUUCACCANCUCAGCGCCAGGGAAUUACGAGCAAUGCUUAAAACCCAAAGGAUUUGACGGUGUCCCACCCACCUAGAGGAGCCUGUUCUAUAAUCGAUGAUCCCCGCUAUACCCAACCACUUUUAGCUCUUCAGUCUGUAUACCUCCGUCGAAAGCCUACCAUGUGAACGUUACCAGUAGGCCCAAUGACCUCAUCAAUACGUCNGGUCANGGUGCAGCUCACGAAGUGGUAAGUAAUGGGCUACAAUUUCUAAUCUAGAACAAACGAANGGCUAUGUGAAACCACAGUCACGAAGGCGGAUUUAGUAGUAAAAAGAAAAUAGAGAGUUCUUUUUAACCUGGCUCUGGGACGCGU
RNAcentral lists this ribosomal RNA (370 nucleotides) under Hydrophylax gracilis (Gravenhorst's golden-backed frog). Its description in RNAcentral is "partial 12S ribosomal RNA". It matches the Rfam family "Bacterial small subunit ribosomal RNA", at positions 842 to 1384 of the family's 1533-position model. Lineage: Eukaryota; Metazoa; Chordata; Amphibia; Anura; Ranidae. The record is from RNAcentral.